This 864-nucleotide ribosomal RNA is filed under the name uncultured bacterium. Its description in RNAcentral is "bacterial SSU rRNA". It matches the Rfam family "Bacterial small subunit ribosomal RNA", at positions 8 to 853 of the family's 1533-position model. The record is from RNAcentral.
AGAGUUUGAUCAUGGCUCAGGACGAACGCUGGCGGCGUGCCGAAUACAUGCAAGUAGAACGCUGAAAUCUGGUGCUCGCACCGGAUGGAUGAGUUGCGAACGGGUGAGUAACGCGUAGGUAACCUACCUCAUAGCGGGGGAUAACUAUUGGACAACGAUAGCUAAUACCGCAUAACAGUCUUUAACUCAUGUUAGAGUCUUGAAAGGGGCAAUUGCUUCACUAUGAGAUGGACCUGCGUUGUAUUAGCUAGUUGGUGAGGUAACGGCUCACCAAGGCGACGAUACAUAGCCGACCUGAGAGGGUGAUCGGCCACACUGGGACUGAGACACGGCCCAGACUCCUACGGGAGGCAGCAGUAGGGAAUCUUCGGCAAUGGGGGCAACCCUGACCGAGCAACGCCGCGUGAGUGAAGAAGGUUUUCGGACCGUAAAGCUCUGUUGUAAGAGAAGAACGUGUGUGAGAGUGGAAAGUUCACACAGUGACGGUAUCUUACCAGAAAGGGACGGCUAACUACGUGCCAGCAGCCGCGGUAAUACGUAGGUCCCGAGCGUUGUCCGGAUUUAUUGGGCGUAAAGCGAGCGCAGGCGGUUUGAUAAGUCUGAAGUUAAAGGCUGUGGCUCAACCAUAGUACGCUUUGGAAACUGUCAAACUUGAGUGCAGAAGGGGAGAGUGGAAUUCCACGUGUAGCGGUGAAAUGCGUAGAUAUAUGGAGGAACACCGGUGGCGAAAGCGGCUCUCUGGUCUGUAACUGACGCUGAGGCUCGAAAGCGUGGGUAGCGAACAGGAUUAGAUACCCUGGUAGUCCACGCCGUAAACGAUGAGUGCUAGGUGUUAGGCCCUUUCCGGGGCUUAGUGCCGCAGCU